UAACGCGAAGAACCUUACCAGGUCUUGACAUCUUUUGACCACCUGAGAGAUCAGGUUUUCCCUUCGGGGACAAAAUGACAGGUGGUGCAUGGCUGUCGUCAGCUCGUGUCGUGAGAUGCUGGGUUAAGUCCCGCAACGAGCGCAACCCUUGUUGUCAGUUGCCAUCAUUCAGUUGGGCACUCUGGCGAGACUGCCGGUGACAAACCGGAGGAAGGUGGGGAUGACGUCAAGUCAUCAUGCCCCUUAUGACCUGGGCUACACACGUGCUACAAUGGACGAUACAACGAGUCGCGAAAUCGCGAGGUCAAGCUAAUCUCUUAAAGUCGUUCUCAGUUCGGAUUGCAGGCUGCAACUCGCCUGCAUGAAGUCGGAAUCGCUAGUAAUCGCGGAUCAGCAUGCCGCGGUGAAUA
This 410-nucleotide ribosomal RNA is filed under the name uncultured bacterium. RNAcentral describes it as "bacterial SSU rRNA". It matches the Rfam family "Bacterial small subunit ribosomal RNA", at positions 957 to 1368 of the family's 1533-position model. The record is from RNAcentral.